CCCUCUGCAGGAAGGAUGUGAGGCUGGAGGGGAAGAGGAGGAGUUGAGGCACUGGGGAUGGUCUCCAGGUCUAAAGAGAAUUUCACCCUUCAAACCAUUGCACGGUUGACCUGCAGAAUGAGAUCACCCUGGCUGUUAGCAGUUGCAGUGCUUCUUUAUGCCUGGUGAUUUCUGUUUCCACGUGCCCAGCUCCCAGAAGGUGUGACUUGCAUGGGAAAUCCUGUUUCACCCCAGGGAUGCGGGCAGACAGAGUUUGUCAUUGCCAGGGAGAAAACGUGGCUGUGUCUGAACCACCAGGAGGACAGACGGACACGUGCAUGCCAGGGAAGGGGGACUUAUGCUGAUGGUGAGAAUCGGCGCUAUCUUUCUAAAGGCAAGAGCAGUUACAGACCCACUGUUCAUUACUUUGGAUGUGUCACAUUUGCUAGUAUGACAAGAUGUAUUAUGGACGAGGAAUUUUACAGAUGGAGAGAAACAUCCAUCGGUCGGACAGAAAUUUCAAGCAACAGUUCUUGGAAACCAUAUGGGGAUCAGCCUGGGAGUUCUGCAAGCUCUCCCAUGUAUUCCUGCAUACGUGCUAUGAUUUUUAUUGUCUGAACUCUAGUGGAUAAUUGAAGAAAAACUAUAUGGAAUUACAAAGGCUGUUUCCCAGCGCUCUGUUUUACAUACACACGCUAUAAAUACACGAUUUAACAUUCGCACACUUGAUUUUUCUUGCUUCUAUUAAAAAUGACGACAAGAUUUUAAAACAAAUGCAUUGUGCUGUAGCUUAAACAAAGAAUGGGACUGCGGGUCUCUUGCCCCCUCUGAACUCAGCAGUACUUUGUUGAUCAAACUUUACACAAAAACGGCUUCACCAUCACGUAUCUUGAACUGCUUGACUUCUCUCCACUUCCUAUACUGCAAACUGAAAUGGUAAAGCUGCUGUUGUUUGCCAUAACACAAGUUCAGGAUUGGACGUGCUCUGUACACUGGGCUCUCUUUUUGUGCUGGCGUCGUCAUGGGGGUCGAUGGAGAUCUAAGAGGGUAUUAAAAAGUGGUGAUUGUUGCAUGUGUUCCUCGCUUUCCGACAUCAAUCUCCUUCUGUAAAGGCAAGUUUAAUAACAGGCGUUUGUUGUACCGAAGUACUUCUAAAUGAACGGGUGAAGAUAAUCACAUGGUGAGGGCUGUCUUCUUCGGCCUGCAUGAUAACACUCCACUCAGGCCCUGGGACCGGACCGAGGUAAACUGACAUAGGGAUUAACUGACAAUAGCAAAGGCUAAUUUACAGAAACCACAUGAGGAGUUCCUGAGCACAGCCCAGAUAACAAAAAUAUUAUCAACACUGUUUACAGUGAAGUAAGUCAGUUUAUUAGUUGGAGUGCUUCAUUAUGUAUAAAAGAUGCCAAUGAUAGUCUCCUAGUCAAAAUAAACAGGCAUAAAGUGUUCCGCGUAUACA
This 1438-nucleotide long non-coding RNA is filed under the name Chrysolophus pictus (golden pheasant). RNAcentral describes it as "lncRNA (ENSCPIG00010014838.1)". Lineage: Eukaryota; Metazoa; Chordata; Aves; Galliformes; Phasianidae. The record is from RNAcentral.